UACGGAAUGGGCUAGCGUUGUUCGGAAUUACUGGGCGUAAAGAGCGCGUAGGCGGCUUACCAAGUUGGGGGUGAAAUCCCGGAGCUCAACUCCGGAACUGGCUUCAAAACUGGUAGGCUCGAGUCCGGAAGAGGGGCGUGGAAUUCCCAGUGUAGAGGUGAAAUUCGUAGAUAUUGGGAAGAACACCGGUGGCGAAGGCGGUGCCCUGGUCCGGUACUGACGCUGAGGCGCGAACGCGUGGGGAGCAAGCAGG
This 253-nucleotide ribosomal RNA is filed under the name uncultured bacterium. Its description in RNAcentral is "partial 16S ribosomal RNA". It matches the Rfam family "Bacterial small subunit ribosomal RNA", at positions 524 to 776 of the family's 1533-position model. The record is from RNAcentral.